GCUGCACCCCCUCACCCCAGGCAGGAACCCACCGGACCCACUCACCCCGAGCAGGGCACCCUAAAAGCUCCCAGACCCCCACAGAGGAGCCUGGCACAGCUCCCUAUCCCCUCGGGCAGCCUCCCUUCACAGCCCUCCUCCGGCCGCCCCCAGCCCAGGCUCUCACGAUGCUACUUUUGACAUAGAAUCAAUAAAUUCGAAGUCAAAACCUGGCCUUGUCCUCCUAAGUGCAGCAUGCCGAGGCUCUAUGGAGAGAGGAGAACUGAUAGAUGCAGGAACUUGAAGGAGACAGAGGGAAAGUUAUAGCCGGUUUUCCCCUGGGUUUCUGAAUUGGUAUUUUGUUUUGAAAAUCUAGAUAUUUUUACCCUCCUGAGAGCUGCUGCUUUAGGAAAAGCCUUGUUUUCAUCCAAAUGUCUCUAAUAACGAGGCUACAGAACUUACACUUGUACUGGAUUGUAAAGACAACUGAAUAAAUUUAAUACAUUUCAUGACUCAUUUGCCAGCACUUCUGAGAUACCUGAAUCUACAUGCUCCAUCCUUUGCUAUUAAACAAAAAAUAGAGAGAUUGAGUAACCUACAAGGAAGAUUUAUUCAAGGUUUAAUCCAAGAAAGGGAUCCAAGACAAGGAAGUAAGUGGAGUACUGUUGUUUUAUAAUCCAGGAAGAAAAUAGGGAUCAAGAGCCCAGCCUUGCCAAUGAGUGAAAUUAGUCAAAAGAAGAUUCAAAAGUAGAAGGCCUGUAGUUGUAGAGAAUCACAUGUUCUGCACUGCACCACUGAAAAGUCAAGGCAGAAGCGGGAGAUCAGCUGGCAGCUCUGUUGGUUCAUGGAGCGAGUUAAAAGGCUCAGCAAACAAAACAUAAAAUUAUGUAAAAAUAGAGCCAGCUAGCUUGAGAUUGGACUUUGUCUCUUAAUUAACAGCUCUCUCUGAAUCACAGCACUGGGCUCUGUCAACAAGACUAAAAUGCAGGGGGUGUUCAGACAGGCACCCAGCAACAGUAGCUCACACCUCCCAUCCAGCCCAUGUCAUUGGCAGCUUGAAAUCAAAUGCAUUUUCUGAAAUGAAUUACAAGUCUGCUGCUUGACCUCAGAUCUUCCCGUGACAGUGUUUGUGGUUUCAUAAUCCUGUUUUCCUGGUGGUUUUUAAAUGUUUUUCUUGCCCUUUUUCACUGGGUGAAAACGCAGGGUAGGCAGGGGAGAGGACAGGG
Long non-coding RNA from Poecile atricapillus (Black-capped chickadee), 1205 nucleotides. RefSeq lists it as uncharacterized. The transcript is spliced from 4 exons. Lineage: Eukaryota; Metazoa; Chordata; Aves; Passeriformes; Paridae. The record is from RefSeq and is a predicted model, not a curated record.